UGCGUGGUGGUGGUGUGUGUUGAGGGUGAUGGUAGUAGUGGUGGUCCAUGGUGUUGGUAGUGGUGGUGUGUAGUGAUGAUAUAUUGUGGUGCUAGUACUGGUGGUGGUGAUAGUGUUUAUAUGUUAUGCUCACAAUGUUACAGGCAUGAGAACUGUGUUAAUGGCGAUGGUGGUGGCGGCAGUCAACCUCCAACACUGGACGAUGGCAAGACACUCAGAGUGUAAAGUGAACCUCACGGAGCCACUGAACCUGAACCUCUCCUCCUCCAAGGUGGAGUCAGAGGAGAUCUUGUGGGGCGAGAUCAGCGUCUUCCCUGGACCUGACAAUCAGUCUUGGGUCCUCAACUUCACCUUCAGGAGAGCAGACGAGUUGCUCGCUUCCGUCUUCGUCUCCCACAUGAGGAGAAAUGGCAGUCUUAGUCAAUUGGACGUCAUCAGGAUUGUGUGUGAGGGCAAUGAACCUGUAGAUAUGGAUGACCCCUGGCCCGACCCGUGGCUGCAGGCAACACCUCGACUCAUCAAGGUGAUGAUCACAGAAACCGAGGUGGUGAUCAAACAAAAGGAACGUAAUGUGUUUACGCAUAUAUGCACCGGUAAGCUCACCAGCCUGCACAACAUGAGCCUGACUGUUGAGAGUGACCCUUGUUGUCCUGCCCCCACACUGACUGUGUCCUGCGAUACUGAUAAUGGUGCUGUUCUUCCCGCCAGCAGUCACCCCUUCCUCCUGUGGCUGAUAGUUGUGUUUGGGGUGGUGGGCGGUGUGUUGCUGGGCUUGAUGAUGGGCGGUGUGUUGCUGGCCAGCCUGGAUUCUUACUACAUUAUGGGGGACCUGAAGGAACAUCAGAUACUCUAAGUCACCAGAGACAUUAUCAGUCAGUCACAAGACGAGGAGUGAACCCUCAGUUACCAGCCACUCAACCUUCACACAAUCACAGCCCAAGUUCGUGUGGUAGGUGUGUCGUCUACACAAAACAACAGUUCGGUGCCACUCUGUUUACCAUCAUGCCCAGUGAUG
Molecule: unclassified non-coding RNA, 1015 nt
Filed under: Homarus americanus (American lobster)
Lineage: Eukaryota; Metazoa; Arthropoda; Malacostraca; Decapoda; Nephropidae
Description: uncharacterized LOC121876858, transcript variant X2
Source: RNAcentral